Molecule: ribosomal RNA, 506 nt
Filed under: uncultured bacterium
Lineage: Bacteria
Description: partial 16S ribosomal RNA
Rfam family: Bacterial small subunit ribosomal RNA
Source: RNAcentral
AGUGAACGCUGGCGGUAGGCCUAACACAUGCAAGUCGAACGGCAGCACAGGAGAGCUUGCUCUCUGGGUGGCGAGUGGCGGACGGGUGAGGAAUACAUCGGAAUCAACUUUUUCGUGGGGGAUAACGUAGGGAAACUUACGCUAAUACCGCAUACGACCUACGGGUGAAAGCAGGGGAUCUUCGGACCUUGCGCGAUUGAAUGAGCCGAUGUCGGAUUAGCUAGUUGGCGGGGUAAAGGCCCACCAAGGGGACGAUCCGUAGCUGGUCUGAGAGGAUGAUCAGCCACACUGGAACUGAGACACGGUCCAGACUCCUACGGGAGGCAGCAGUGGGGAAUAUUGGACAAUGGGCGCAAGCCUGAUCCAGCCAUACCGCGCGGGUGAAGAAGGCCUUCGGGUUGUAAAGCCCUUUUGUUGGGAAAGAAAUCCAGCUGGUUAAUACCCGGUUGGGAUGACGGUACCCAAAGAAUAAGCACCGGCUAACUUCGUGCCAGCAGCCGCCGUAA